This 27-nucleotide small RNA is filed under the name Bombyx mori (domestic silkworm). Its description in RNAcentral is "ovarian small RNA-23298". The record is from RNAcentral. Lineage: Eukaryota; Metazoa; Arthropoda; Insecta; Lepidoptera; Bombycidae.
UAUACACAAGAUAAAGGUAAACACAAA